Molecule: ribosomal RNA, 256 nt
Filed under: uncultured bacterium
Lineage: Bacteria
Description: partial 16S ribosomal RNA
Rfam family: Bacterial small subunit ribosomal RNA
Source: RNAcentral
UACGUAGGGUGCGAGCGUUAAUCGGAAUUAUUGGGCGUAAAGCGCACGUAGGCGGCUUGGCAAGUCGGAUGUGAAAUCCCUCGGCUCAACCAAGGAAGUGCAUCCGAAACUGCUGAGCUUGAGUACUUAAGAGGAUCGCGGAAUUCCCGGAUGUAGAGGUGAAAUUUCGUAGAUAUCGGGAGGAACACCAGUGGCGAAGGCGGCGAUCUGGGAAGAUACUGACGCUGAGGUGCGAAAGCGUGGGGAGCAAAGCAGG